Molecule: ribosomal RNA, 794 nt
Filed under: uncultured bacterium
Lineage: Bacteria
Description: bacterial SSU rRNA
Rfam family: Bacterial small subunit ribosomal RNA
Source: RNAcentral
CUCUUCGGGGAUGAUUAAACCGGCGCACGGGUGAGUAACACGUGAGUGACCUGCCUUUUAGACUGGAACAACUUACCGAAAGGUGAGCUAAUGCCGGAUGAGUUAUAUAAGUGCAUGUUUAUAUAGGAAAAGUUGGGGAGACCUGACGCUGAAAGAUGGACUCGCGUCCCAUUAGCUAGUUGGUAGGGUAAUGGCCUACCAAGGCGACGAUGGGUAGCCGACCUGAGAGGGUGGCCGGCCACACUGGGACUGAGACACGGCCCAGACUCCUACGGGAGGCAGCAGUGGGGAAUUUUGCGCAAUGCUCGUAAGAGUGACGCAGCGACGCCGCGUGAAUGACGAAGGCCUUCGGGUCGUAAAGUUCUUUCGACAGGGAAGAAAAUGCCUAUAAGUAACUGUGUAUGUAUUGACGGUACCUGUAUAAGCAGCCCCGGCUAACUCCGUGCCAGCAGCCGCGGUAAUACGGAGGGGGCGAGCGUUGUUCGGAGUGACUGGGCGUAAAGAGCACGUAGGCGGUGUUGUAAGUCAUUAGUCAAAGACUAGAGCUCAACUUUAGUAAGGCUAGUGAUACUAUAAUACUAGAGUAUCAGAGAGGAUUGCAGAAUUCCUGGUGUAGCGGUGAAAUGCGUAGAUAUCAGGAGGAAUACCGUUAGCGAAGGCGGCAAUCUGGCUGGAAACUGACGCUGAGGUGCGAAAGCGUGGGUAGCAAACAGGAUUAGAUACCCUGGUAGUCCACGCUGUAAACGAUGGAUGCUAGGUGUUGGGCUUUUAAGUUCAGUGCCGCAGCAAACGCG